CUUGUAUGAUGAUUCACCAAUAUUAUAUGUUUUUUCUGGCAUCUCUAAUGUUAGAGCUCUUCAGCUCGAUGAAUUCAACUUUUGACUAUAUCUGAUU
This 97-nucleotide small nucleolar RNA is filed under the name Babjeviella inositovora NRRL Y-12698. RNAcentral's name for it is "Small nucleolar RNA snR48". It matches the Rfam family "Small nucleolar RNA snR48". Rfam says of the family: snR48 is a member of the C/D class of snoRNA which contain the C (UGAUGA) and D (CUGA) box motifs. Most of the members of the box C/D family function in directing site-specific 2'-O-methylation of substrate RNAs. The record is from Rfam by way of RNAcentral. Lineage: Eukaryota; Fungi; Ascomycota; Pichiomycetes; Serinales.